This 497-nucleotide ribosomal RNA is filed under the name uncultured bacterium. Its description in RNAcentral is "partial 16S ribosomal RNA". It matches the Rfam family "Bacterial small subunit ribosomal RNA", at positions 28 to 507 of the family's 1533-position model. The record is from RNAcentral.
GACGAACGCUGGCGGCGUGCCUAAUACAUGCAAGUUGAGCGCUGAAGGUUGGUACUUGUACCAACUGGAUGAGCAGCGAACGGGUGAGUAACGCGUGGGGAAUCUGCCUUUGAGCGGGGGACAACAUUUGGAAACGAAUGCUAAUACCGCAUAAAAACUUUAAACACAAGUUUUAAGUUUGAAAGAUGCAAUUGCAUCACUCAAAGAUGAUCCCGCGUUGUAUUAGCUAGUUGGUGAGGUAAAGGCUCACCAAGGCGAUGAUACAUAGCCGACCUGAGAGGGUGAUCGGCCCGAUUGGGAGUGAGACACGGCCCAAACUCCUACGGGAGGCAGCAGUAGGGAAUCUUCGGCAAUGGACGAAAGUCUGACCGAGCAACGCCGCGUGAGUGAAGAAGGUUUUCGGAUCGUAAAACUCUGUUGGUAGAGAAGAACGUUGGUGAGAGUGGAAAGCUCAUCAAGUGACGGUAACUACCCAGAAAGGGACGGCUAACUACGUG